RNAcentral lists this long non-coding RNA (381 nucleotides) under Rosa chinensis. Its description in RNAcentral is "sRNA RchiOBHm_Chr2g0100311". Lineage: Eukaryota; Viridiplantae; Streptophyta; Magnoliopsida; Rosales; Rosaceae. The record is from RNAcentral.
CGUGCGCUACAUCACACCCAAUAAUUACCCAUGCAGCCCGGGGCCCACACCGUCUCGGCGGCCAUGAGAGGAGGACCUCCUCCUUUUUCUCUCAAGCUAAUCCCUUCCAAUAUAAUAACCCCCCUCAAAAGAACAAGAAUCAACCGCCACCGACCACCAACCUUGUGCCUCGGCAACUCCAUGGGCGACCAAGGCGGCGCCUCAACGACGGAGACUCGACCAAUUGAGGCGCCGACGAGGAAAAAAGAAGACGGAGAGCCGGAAAAGGAAGUCCCGCCGCCGCCGCCUCCGCCUGAGAAGCCGGAGCCCGGCGAUUGCUGCGGCAGCGGUUGCGUCCGAUGCGUUUGGGACGUGUAUUACGACGAGCUCGACGAAUAUAAC